GGCCACAGGACCCCUGGAAUAAGGAAAGCCCGCUCUCGGGCACUGAGUGUUGCAAAUAGGUUUGGUGGUGCUGAGCUGUGAGUGGCUCUGGAAUGUGUCUUGUUUUGAGGUGCACAAGCAGCUUUUCCUUCGAAUUUCUUAAAUCCCUCCUGCAGUCUCGUUUCUAGAUUAUAGCCCUGGCGUGUUCCUCUUUGAAUGACCAUUGAGCAUCAAGAGAUGGGGAAGACCUUUACAAAAAUACAAGCAGAAAGAAGUUGCUUUACCCAUUUGGCUUUGUCAUGGAAGAGGGGUCGUUGCACCAGGGACAGCAAACACUUCCUUCAAUUGAACCCUCGCCUUCUCUCCUGAUUGGCCUUCCAGUCAAGGAAGGGCCACUGGAAAGCGCUGAUCAUGUUGUUUCCCAUCAUCUGGAUCCCAAAGUUGUUAACUUAAAUGGGUGACUGAGGUUUUAGUAAACUGGGUUUUACUAAUAGUAACCCCUUCUUUGAGGUACUAUUUUUUCCAUUCUUUUCCUUUAUGACAAGUAAAUCCAUUGGCUAUGCUAAGUUUAUUUGCAUCCUAGCAAGUCUUAGAGAAUCAAUUUAGUUAAAAUGAUUGUAUUUGCCUUCAGAGAAGAGGCUCAUGGUCUAAAUAUAAUUCUUAUGUAAAGAUGUCUUUUAUGCAAAAAAUAUGGAUUCUAACUUGGUAAGAUGGCCCCAGGGUAGGGGGGGAUGUG
RNAcentral lists this long non-coding RNA (715 nucleotides) under Ursus maritimus (polar bear). RNAcentral describes it as "lncRNA (ENSUMAG00000005831.1)". Lineage: Eukaryota; Metazoa; Chordata; Mammalia; Carnivora; Ursidae. The record is from RNAcentral.